CUGGAAUUCCUGGGGUUCUCCCCUUUCAAUGUGCCAUUUCCUCUCACCCAGGUGUCCCUGUUCAUCUCCCAGGUAGGCCUGGUGAUGCUCCUUGGCCCCCAGCCAGGCAGUUGUUGAUGUGGGCAGCCCCAGCAGCAGCAGAGCUGUGGCAAGCCCCUCCAGCUUUGGUCAGGGAGCCCCGCUUCUCACAACAAACCUCGCCUGGGCCCUGGAAUCUUGCCGACUUCAGCAAAUGUUUACACCUGCUUCUCCAUGGAGCAAGAAUCUAAGCAAGGAAUCUGACAAACAAAACAAAGGAGUGAGAGCACGGCGGGGAGCAGGGCGGCGGCCUUAGCUGCUUUUUUCUUUCCAGAGAACUGCCUGUUUCCUCAAACAUUUUCUGGGCCCCUUGCCUGAGUUUUCAGCUUUCCCCUUGCCAGCUGCCCAUGGUCCCAGUGCUUAGGGUAUAAUUUUUUUUCUGGCUAGUCAUCCUCCACUCAAAGAUUAGCCCCACUCAAGAAAGGGCAUCAUUCCCAUAGCAGAUUUCCAUCACCAUCCUAAGGUCCAAGGUUACUGCUAAGAAGGCAGUUGUGUACAAGGCUUGCCUGACUGACAUCUUUGGUUUGAGGAGGUGGAUUGCUGACCAGAACUCUAACAUCGGGCCGAUCUUGAGCAAGCUUUGUCCUUCUCGGCACGCCUAAACCAUUUAUCAAAAUGUUUAUCACCAUUCUCCAUGGAGAUCAUGAAAAGACCCUAUUUAAUUCUCACUGCAAAGUAGAGGCGCUAUUGAACAGUAUCAAGCAGUGCUGUGGCUGUGAGCCCGAAGGGAUGAUUGAACUGGCAGAUGAGAGUGGUCAGUUGAAAAACCUUCUCCAGUACCCUCAACUCUAUGCAUCUGAACUGCUGAAGCCCCGAGAAACCUAUAUCCCUUUUACUGUAAAACGACCUGAAGGUUCAUCAGAGCCAGUCUUUGUGGCGCUAUUAAAAGAUGAUGAAGUUAUUGACUCUAAAUUACUAGCUACCCUGAGGCUUGCAGGAAACUCCAACUCCCCAGUGUCUGAGAAGCAACCAAAAUCUGGGAAGACCAAGAGAAAAACCUUGACUUCUGAAGCUCGGAGCCGAAAGGCAAACUGAGAACCUCCCCAAGGAGCAACAGGAGGCAGGAUGGGACCUAGGGAGAUGUGCUGAAUUCAGAGUUGGCGGACAUGGGUUUGAAUCCUGACCCUGCCACAAAUGACCUUUGUGACCUUGAACAAAUCCCUUUACCCUCUCUGGGCCUCAGUUUCCUCAUCUAUAAAAUGAAGGGGAUGGAUAAAAGAUCUCUAAGAUCCCAUCAGGCUUUAACUCUAUGAAACUAGAGCAGAAUCAUGUCUAUAUCAUGUCCUUUAUGCGGGAUGGGGAGACACUGUGAAAGGGCAUUAUGGCAAAGCAUCUGCUUUAGCUGGUAGUAAAACAUUUCUACAAUCUGUAAUAAAUAACAUUUGCAUACACUACUAAGCUAGAAA
RNAcentral lists this long non-coding RNA (1484 nucleotides) under Vombatus ursinus (common wombat). RNAcentral describes it as "lncRNA (ENSVURG00010021570.1)". Lineage: Eukaryota; Metazoa; Chordata; Mammalia; Diprotodontia; Vombatidae. The record is from RNAcentral.